CCCUUAGAUGUCCGGGGCUGCACGCGCGCUACACUGAAGGAAUCAGCGUGCUAAAACCAUUGUCGAAAGGCAUUGGUAAACCCAUUAAAAUCCUACGUGAUUGGGAUCGGGAGUUGCAAUUAUUUCCCUUGAACGAGGAAUUCCCAGUAAGUGUGGGUCAUAAGCUCGCGUUGAUUACGUCCCUGCCCUUUGUACACACCGCCCGUCGCUGCCCGGGACUGAGCCGUUUCGAGAAAAGCGGGGACUGCUGCUGUCGGGGCUUUCGGGCCUUGGCUUCGGUGGAAACCGCUUUAAUCGCAGUGGCUUGAACCGGGCAAAAGUCGUAACA
Molecule: ribosomal RNA, 328 nt
Filed under: uncultured eukaryote
Lineage: Eukaryota
Description: partial 18S ribosomal RNA
Rfam family: Eukaryotic small subunit ribosomal RNA
Source: RNAcentral